Molecule: ribosomal RNA, 527 nt
Filed under: Trigonopterus ejaculatorius
Lineage: Eukaryota; Metazoa; Arthropoda; Insecta; Coleoptera; Curculionidae
Description: partial large subunit ribosomal RNA
Rfam family: Bacterial large subunit ribosomal RNA
Source: RNAcentral
AUUAUUAUUUUAAGUCUGACCUGCCCGCUGAGUGGUUGAAUGGCCGCGGUAUUUUGACCGUGCAAAGGUAGCAUAAUCACUAGUUUUUUAAUUGAAAGCUUGGAUGAAGGGUUUGAUGAGAAAGAGUCUGUCUCUGGAUAAAUUAAUUAGAAUUUUAUUUUUAAGUUAAAAAGCUUAAAUUUUUAUAGAAGACGAGAAGACCCUAUAGAGUUUUAUAGGUGAUAAUUAGUUGAGUAUUUAGGUAUUGUUAAAAGAUUAAUUAGUAUUUAUUUUUUUGGGGUGAAAGGAAAAUUGAUUAAACUUUUUUUUAAUUUGAAUAUUUGUUUAUAAGUGAAUGAUCCUUUAUUUUAGAUUAUAAGAAUAAACUACCUUAGGGAUAACAGCGUAAUUGUUUUUAGAGUUCUUAUCGAAAAAAUAGUUUGCGACCUCGAUGUUGGAUUAAAAUUAAUUAUUGGUGUAGUGGCUAAUAAAUUAGGUCUGUUCGACCUUUAAAAUUUUACAUGAUCUGAGUUUAAACCGGCGUGAGC